UACGUAGGGGGCAAGCGUUGUCCGGAAUCAUUGGGCGUAAAGAGCGUGUAGGCGGCCCGGUAAGUCCGCUGUGAAAGUCCAGGGCUCAACCCUGGGAUGCCGGUGGAUACUGUCGGGCUCGAGUCCGGAAGAGGAGUGUGGAAUUCCUGGGUGUAGCGGUGAAAUGCGCAGAUGAUCAGGAGGAACACCAAUGGCGAAGGCAGCACCCUGGGAC
Molecule: ribosomal RNA, 214 nt
Filed under: uncultured bacterium
Lineage: Bacteria
Description: partial 16S ribosomal RNA
Rfam family: Bacterial small subunit ribosomal RNA
Source: RNAcentral